ACGCUCGACACCUACGAGGCAGCAGUGAGGAAUAUUGGUCAAUGGGCGCUAGCCUGAACCAGCCAAGUAGCGUGAAGGAUGAAGGCUCUAUGGGUCGUAAACUUCUUUUAUAUAAGAAUAAAGUGCAGUAUGUAUACUGUUUUGUAUGUAUUAUAUGAAUAAGGAUCGGCUAACUCCGUGCCAGCAGCUGCGGUAUCUGGAGGCGGGCUGGCAAGGC
RNAcentral lists this ribosomal RNA (217 nucleotides) under uncultured bacterium. RNAcentral describes it as "partial 16S ribosomal RNA". It matches the Rfam family "Bacterial small subunit ribosomal RNA", at positions 326 to 539 of the family's 1533-position model. The record is from RNAcentral.